GUGAGUCAUCGAAUCUUUGAACGCACAUUGCGCCCCUUGGUAUUCCGAGGGGCAUGCCUGUUCGAGCGUCAUUAUAACCUUCAAGCCUAGCUUGGUCUUGGAGUCGCUAGCUAGCGGCCCCCAAAUUCAGUGGCGGCGCCUGUAGGCUCUACGCGUAGUAAUCUUUCUCGCGACGGACGCCUAGGGGUGCUUGCCAACAACCCCAACCUUCUCAGGUUGACCUCGGAUCAGGUAGGGAUACCCGCUGAACUUAAGCAUAUCAAUAAGCGGAGGA
This 274-nucleotide unclassified non-coding RNA is filed under the name Helotiaceae sp. RNAcentral's name for it is "partial contains 5.8S ribosomal RNA, internal transcribed spacer 2, and large subunit ribosomal RNA". The stretch from base 1 to 71 matches the Rfam family "5.8S ribosomal RNA", at positions 84 to 154 of the family's 154-position model. Lineage: Eukaryota; Fungi; Ascomycota; Leotiomycetes; Helotiales; Helotiaceae. The record is from RNAcentral.